RNAcentral lists this ribosomal RNA (901 nucleotides) under uncultured marine benthic group E euryarchaeote. RNAcentral describes it as "bacterial SSU rRNA". It matches the Rfam family "Archaeal small subunit ribosomal RNA", at positions 510 to 1413 of the family's 1478-position model. Lineage: Archaea; Methanobacteriati; Candidatus Hydrothermarchaeota. The record is from RNAcentral.
GUAAAGCGUUCGUAGCCGGUUUGGUAAGUCUUUGGGUAAAUCUUCAGGGCUAACCUGAGGAAUUCCAGAGAUACUGCCAGACUGGGAGUUGAGAGAGGUCAGAGGUACCUCCGGGGUAGGGGUGAAAUCCUAUAAUCCUGGGGGGACCACCAGUGGCGAAGGCGUCUGACUAGAGCAAGCUCGACGGUGAGGGACGAAAGCCAGGGGCGCGAACGGGAUUAGAUACCCCGGUAGUCCUGGCCGUAAACGCUGCGCGCUAGGUGUUGCAUGCUCUACGAGGGCGUGCAGUGCCGAAGAGAAGUUGAUAAGCGUGCCGCCUGGGAAGUAUUACCGCAAGGUAGAAACUUAAAGGAAUUGGCGGGGGAGCACCACAAGGGGUGGAGUGUGCGGUUCAAUUGGAUUCAACGCCGGGAAACUCACCGGGAGCGACGGCAGAAUGAUAGCCAAGCUGAUGACUUUGCUUGACGAGCCGAGAGGAGGUGCAUGGCCGUCGUCAGCUCGUACUGUGAAGCGUCCUGUUAAGUCAGGUAACGAGCGAGACCCGUGCCCUUAGUUGCUAAUUUCUCCCAUUGGGAGAAGUGCACUCUAGGGGGACCGCCAGUGCUAAACUGGAGGAAGGUGCGGGCGACUAUAGGUCAGUAUGCCCCGAAUCUCCCGGGCUACACGCGGACUACAAUGGAUGGUACAAUAGGUUUCGACUCCGAGAGGAGAAGGAAAUCCCCAAAGCCAUCCCAAGUUCAGAUUGUGGGUUGCAACCCACCCACAUGAAGCCGGAAUCCCUAGUAAUCGCGUGUCAUCAUCGCGCGGUGAAUAUGUCCCUGCUCCUUGCACACACCGCCCGUCAAGCCACCCGAGUGGAGCUUGGUCGAGGUUAUUCCUUCUGGGUAUAUGCGAGUCGAUU